RNAcentral lists this ribosomal RNA (274 nucleotides) under uncultured bacterium. RNAcentral's name for it is "partial 16S ribosomal RNA". It matches the Rfam family "Bacterial small subunit ribosomal RNA", at positions 523 to 796 of the family's 1533-position model. The record is from RNAcentral.
AUACGAAAGGUGCAAGCGUUGUUCGGAUUUACUGGGCGUAAAGAGAGUGUAGGUGGUUUAUGAAGUCGGAUGUGAAAUCCCGGGGCUCAACCUCGGAACUGCAUUCGAUACUGAUAGGCUAGAGUUUGGGAGGGGUAAGCGGAAUUCCGUGUGUAGCAGUGAAAUGCGUAGAUAUACGGAGGAACACCUGAGGCGAAGGCGGCUUACUGGACCAAUACUGACACUGAGACUCGAAAGCGUGGGUAGCAAACAGGAUUAGAAACCCUAGUAGUCC